Molecule: ribosomal RNA, 904 nt
Filed under: Psathyrella hymenocephala
Lineage: Eukaryota; Fungi; Basidiomycota; Agaricomycetes; Agaricales; Psathyrellaceae
Description: eukaryotic LSU rRNA
Rfam family: Eukaryotic large subunit ribosomal RNA
Source: RNAcentral
GGAAAAGAAACUAACAAGGAUUCCCCUAGUAACUGCGAGUGAAGCGGGAAAAGCUCAAAUUUAAAAUCUGGUGGUCUCUGGCCAUCCGAGUUGUAAUCUAGAGAAGUGUUACCCGCGUCGGACCGUGUNUAAGUCUCCUGGAAUGGAGCGUCAUAGAGGGUGAGAAUCCCGUCUUUGACACGGACUACCGAGGCUUUGUGGUAUGCUCUCAAAGAGUCGAGUUGUUUGGGAAUGCAGCUCAAAAUGGGUGGUAAAUUCCAUCUAAAGCUAAAUAUUGGCGAGAGACCGAUAGCGAACAAGUACCGUGAGGGAAAGAUGAAAGAACUUUGGAAAGAGAGUUAAACAGUACGUGAAAUUGCUGAAAGGGAAACGCUUGAAGUCAGUCGCGUUGGCCGGGAAUCAGCCUUGCUUUUGCUUGGUGUACUUUCUGGUUGACGGGCCAGCAUCAGUUUUGACCGGUGGAAAAAGUUCAGGGGAAUGUGGCAUCUUCGGGUGUGUUAUAGCCCUUGUUCGUAUACAUCGGUUGGGACUGAGGAACUCAGCACGCCGCAAGGCCGGGUCUUUGACCACGUUCGUGCUUAGGAUGCUGGCAUAAUGGCUUUAAUCGACCCGUCUUGAAACACGGACCAAGGAGUCUAACAUGCCUGCGAGUGUUUGGGUGGAAAACCCGAGCGCGUAAUGAAAGUGAAAGUUGAGAUCCUUGUCAUGGGGAGCAUCGACGCCCGGACCUGACGUUUUCUGACGGCCCUGCGGUAGAGCAUGUAUGUUGGGACCCGAAAGAUGGUGAACUAUGCCUGAAUAGGGUGAAGCCAGAGGAAACUCUGGUGGAGGCUCGUAGCGAUUCUGACGUGCAAAUCGAUCGUCAAAUUUGGGUAUAGGGGCGAAAGACUAAUCGAACCAUCUA